Molecule: non-coding RNA, 2995 nt
Filed under: Pongo abelii (Sumatran orangutan)
Lineage: Eukaryota; Metazoa; Chordata; Mammalia; Primates; Hominidae
Source: RNAcentral
AGCAGCUGCAUCCUGCUCCUGUCUGGUUUUGUGCUGUGGAAGCUUUGUUCUUUCACUCUCCGUAAUAAAUCUUGAUGAUCCUCACUCUUUGGGUCCGCGCUAUCUCUAUGAGCUGUAAUACUCACUGCGAGGCUCUGUGCCUUCAUUCCUGAAGUCAGGGAGACCACAAACCCACCAGAAGGUACAAACAACUCCGGAUGUGCCACCUUUAAGAGCUAUAACACUCACCGCGAGGGUCUGUGGCUUCAUUCCUGGAGUCAGUGAGACCACGAACCCACCAGAAGGAAGAAACUCCGGACACAUCUGAACAUCUGAAGGAACAAACUCCAGACACACCAUCUUUAAGAACUGUAACACUCACUGGGAGGCUUUGUGGCUUCAUUCUUGAAGACAGUGAGAUCAAGAACCCACCAGAAGGAAUAAAUUCUGGACACAGCAACAGCACAAAGUUAAACCAGGAAGUCCCUCUGCCUUGCUAGGGAUCCAGCUUUGCCUUCUUGUUGAGGUAUCCCAUUCCAUUACAGUUGACCUAAGUUUGAACAAACACUGCCACCUGAUGCAUGAAAGCUCUACUGUGACCUACGUUAAAAGGAACUGACACUCCCUCAGGCUACCUUAGUCAGUGGGGGCUUAUUGCAGCAUACCUGUGGCAAUGAGAGAGAGAGGCACAUCACAGGAGCAUCUGGCACCAGUGGCAUCCCAAAUUUAAGAUGAAACAAUAGAGAAAGAACCAAGAAGUUACAUACAUUCAUCAGAAUUGCUGGAGAGUCCUGACCUCUGGCCAUCGAUCAAAGGGAAGCAUUCACUACUGAAAGUUUGUCUUCACUGUACUGGGUAUUCAACUUCCUUGAAAUUAAAAGGAAGAAGGAUAAAAAGUGGUAUGCUGAAUGGAUUAAAGGACAAGGACCAAACUUCAAUUAUCAUCACAGAAAUUAACAUAUGUGGUCUCAUCAAUGAACAAAUCUUUACCAAGUCAAAAAAAAGGGUAUUUCACAUCGCACUGACUCCUCAGAAAAAAAGGCCAAUCUAGGGUACAAUGAUAUUUCUCAUCUACUUUGCCAGAAUGAUGCAAGAGAUCCAGAGAAACGAAUGAAAGCAAGUGUAUUAUGCUCAAAAGUAGGACAAAGACAAGACAAACUGGAGGUAAUAUUCAAUAGCAUGUAAUUGGUCUCUUCAUGAACCCAGGUGAACUAUCAAAUUUUUUCAACAGGUAAAUUGGGGGGAGGGGUACAACAUGUCUGAUAUAUCUACUAUUGCACAAAGAAGAAUUACAAUAAGAUUUUUUAAGAGAAAUUGUCCCUUUGAAGACGAUCAAAAGAGAGUUGAAACAUUUCUGAAAUAAAAUGCAUUCUAUUGGGGUAGGGUUCUUAUUCACCAGAUAUUAGUAAACCUAUCUCCAAUACAAAAGAAAGAAGAAGUUAGGCCAAAUUCAGUACUACUUCUGUCUUCCAUAAAAUGUUCAUUUAGCCCUGCAGAAAUUGAACUCGAAAAAAGGUUUCAAUUUAAUUGACUCUAUACAGGCCUAAACUAGUAUUUUUUUAAGAGAGUUAUGAAGAAAAGAUGAAUAUGUGGAGCACAGAGGAUUUUUAGGGCAGUGAAACUACUCCGUAUGAUACUGUAACAGUAGAUAUCAUGGUAUUGUACAUUUGUCCAAACCUACAGAAUGCACACCACCAAGAGUGAACCCGAAUGUAAACUAUGGACUUUCGGUGAUAGCGAUGUAUCAAUGUAGGCUCAUCAGUUGCAACAACUGUGCCACUCUGGUGGGGUAUGUUGAUAAUGGGUGAAGCUGUACAAGUGUGGGGACAGGGGACAGCUGUACAAGUGUGGGGACAUAUGCAUGGGAAACAUCUGUAGUUUCUGUUCAGUUUUGUUGUGAAUCUAAAAUUACUCUAAAAUAUAAUGUCUAUUUAAAAAAAAGUGGUUAUAUAAAAACUAAGGCUACACUGUAAGUUUACCUCUGACAAGGUCUUAUGCAGCAGGGAGCUUUGGUUUUUCAACCUGUGAGCUUCAUCCACAACAAGAACACUCCAAGGGAAUCUGUGAGAGAAAACCCAAGCUUUCAGUUUUGUGUAAUUUAAACACAUAUUUCACAAUCCAAAGUCGUACUACAAAACUGUGACUGUUGUUAAAAAGACUAACAGUAAGCCCCUUCUGUUACAAAUGCUACCAAAUUACCUUCCUAUCUGAGAGGCUACAUGUGCAUAAUACAAUAUCUGGAUAAGGUAGUAAAACCAAAGGAUUUUUUUUUUUUUUAACAAAAUGGGAAAGACCUAUGCAGAAAAGAAGCCAGAGACAGAAAGGAAAAGGAAACAUUUAUGAUCUCCUACUUUGUGCCAGACACUGACCUCAGGGCUUUAUGUGUUAUUUAGUCUAAAAGAGUAUAGCAAGCAAACAAUCAUGCUCAUUUUACUAAUGAAGACACUAAAGCUCAGAAAGGUUAGGUGACUUGGUGAAGGUCAUAAAGACAGAGCUGAUGUUCAAACACAGAAGAAAAAAAUCAAGAGACAGUGGUGUUGUAGGAACUUAAGAAGUGUGACUUUAAAAUGGGUAAGUGGUGAGCAGAGUCAAAUCUCACAGAGAUGUCCAGGAAGAUAUAUCCACUGAAUUUGUUGACAUGGAAGUCAUUAGUGGCUGUUGCCAGAGCACAUUUUGUAGCAUACUAUGUCACAUCAGCAACUUCUCGAGAAGUUUCAGUCAUAAAAGCAAAUACUUUGACAAAUACUACUGAGAAGCUAUUUAAGAAAAAUUCAAAAUACAGAAAAAGAUAUAUGUGGGAAUGUUUCAAGUUGUAUUAUUUAAAACAGCAAAAAAUGGAAAAUAACCUAAAUGUCCAAUAAUAGGUAGUAAAAUAUUACAUGGCAUUUUAAAUAAUAAAUAUGAUUAUGUUGCAAUUUAAAAGGCCUAUAGAAUAAUAAAAAAGAUAUAAAUAUCAUGUAUCCUCUUUUACAAAUGUGAAAGCCAUGCAAAAGAUAAUAAAGUGAAAAUUAUAAGA